ACGAACGCUGGCGGCUCGCCUAACACAUGCAAGUCGAACGAGCGAGAGAGAGCUUGCUUUCUCGAGCGCGUGGCGAACGGGUGAGUAACGCGUGAGGAACCUGCCUCAAAGAGGGGGACAACAGUUGGAAACGACUGCUAAUACCGCAUAAGCCCACGACCCGGCAUCGGGUAGAGGGAAAAGGAGCAAUCCGCUUUGAGAUGGCCUCGCGUCCGAUUAGCUAGUUGGUGAGGUAACGGCCCACCAAGGCGACGAUCGGUAGCCGGACUGAGAGGUUGAACGGCCACAGUGGAAAUGAGACACGGCCCAGACUCAUACGGGAAGCAGCAGUGGGGAAUAUUGCACAAGGGGGGAAACCCUGAUGCAGCGACGCCGCGUGGAGGAAGAAGGUCUUCGGAUUGUAAACUCCUGUUGUAGAGGAAGAUAAUGACGGUACUCAACAAGGAAGUGACGGCUAACUACGUG
Molecule: ribosomal RNA, 465 nt
Filed under: uncultured bacterium
Lineage: Bacteria
Description: partial 16S ribosomal RNA
Rfam family: Bacterial small subunit ribosomal RNA
Source: RNAcentral